Molecule: long non-coding RNA, 768 nt
Filed under: Androctonus crassicauda
Lineage: Eukaryota; Metazoa; Arthropoda; Arachnida; Scorpiones; Buthidae
Source: RNAcentral
GAAAGGUUUGCAGGAACCUAACUCUAUAUUUCCCAUAGGCACAAUGGUUUAGUAUUCACUAAUUCAAUAUUCAUGAAAAAUUUACAGAAUGUAACUAUCAUGAAUAAAGAGAAUUGACUGUAUUUUAUUUAAUAUGGUUGUUGUCUAUUAUUCCCUCACUCUCUUCAUCCCUCUCAAUUUCUUGCACCCUUAUUCAUAUGACUUUUUGCCCCCCCAUGUGCUGGAGCUUAAUCACAAAAACUGUUCCUGGUAUAAUAGCAUCUUGAUGUUUUCCAAAAUUGCAAAAAGGCAAAUAUUUUAUAAUAGUAAUAUAUUACUGCCUGGCCGAACUGGUAGAACCCCACAUAACUAACCAUUGAAGUGAGACUAAUGCUGCCGUUGUUCCACAAUGCAGAAGAAAAUUGAACUGAGAGUCCUAUACCGAUUUGGAGUCUCUAUAUGAUGGUGUAAGUGCUGAAAGAAUAUAUGCUAAAAAAUUUUUCCAAAUACUAAUAAUAAGGCAGUUGGGUAAUACGAAAAGACUUCACUCAAGUUCCCUGACUGUUUAAGUAUUGGGAUAAUUAUCAUUUCUGUCCAAGUGGUAGAAUGACCUUUACAGGAUUGGAUAUGAGCCAAUUGAGCCUUGUAUUGAGGAAAAAUGAAAUCAUGAAAAGGCUAAUAAAUGAAGAAUAAUGGUUUAGAUUUACUGUUAUGACUGGACUUUUACACAUCUAAUUUUGUAGAUCCACAAAAAAAUUUUUCUUGGAAAAAUUGAAUGUGAACGAAUCA